RNAcentral lists this ribosomal RNA (495 nucleotides) under uncultured bacterium. RNAcentral describes it as "partial 16S ribosomal RNA". It matches the Rfam family "Bacterial small subunit ribosomal RNA", at positions 28 to 507 of the family's 1533-position model. The record is from RNAcentral.
GACGAACGCUGGCGGCGUGCCUAAUACAUGCAAGUAGAACGCUGAAGGAGGAGCUUGCUUCUCUGGCUGAGUUGCGAACGGGUGAGUAACGCGUAGGUAACCUGCCUGGUAGUGGGGGAUAACUAUUGGAAACGAUAGCUAAUACCGCAUAAUAGCAGUUGUUGCAUGAUAACUGUUUGAAAGGUGCAAUUGCACCGCUACCAGAUGGACCUGCGUUGUAUUAGCUAGUUGGUGGGGUAACGGCUCACCAAGGCGACGAUACAUAGCCGACCUGAGAGGGUGAUCGGCCACACUGGGACUGAGACACGGCCCAGACUCCUACGGGAGGCAGCAGUAGGGAAACUUCGGCAAUGGACGGAAGGCUGACCGGGCAACGCCGCGUGAGUGAAGAAGGGUUUCGGAUCGUAAAGCUCUGUUGUAAGGGAAGAACGAGUGUGGGAGUGGAAAGUUCACACUGUGACGGUAGCUUACCAGAAAGGGACGGCUAACUACGUG